This 1042-nucleotide ribosomal RNA is filed under the name Dothideomycetes sp. genotype 114. Its description in RNAcentral is "eukaryotic LSU rRNA". The stretch from base 461 to 1042 matches the Rfam family "Eukaryotic large subunit ribosomal RNA", at positions 1 to 595 of the family's 3401-position model. Lineage: Eukaryota; Fungi; Ascomycota; Dothideomycetes. The record is from RNAcentral.
GGAUCAUUACCGAGUGAAGGGCCUCUGGCCCGGACUCCCAACCCCAUGUGACCCGACACUGUUGCCUCGGGGGCGACCCGGCUCUCCGAGUCGGGGCCCCCGGCGGACCGUUCAACGCUGCAUCUGUGCGUCCGAGUCAAACGAUAAAUCAAUCAAAACUUUCAACAACGGAUCUCUUGGUUCUGGCAUCGAUGAAGAACGCAGCGAAAUGCGAUAAGUAAUGUGAAUUGCAGAAUUCAGUGAAUCAUCGAAUCUUUGAACGCACAUUGCGCCCCUUGGUAUUCCGGGGGGCAUGCCUGUUCGAGCGUCAUUUCACCACUCAAGCCUCGCUUGUUAUUGAGCGCUGCGGUCCGCCGCACGCCCCAAUGUCUCCGGCUGAGCCGUCCGUCUCAAAGCGUUGUGGCAACUCAAUCCGCUUCUGGGACCGGGCGACCCGGCCGUCAAACACCCCACACAAGGUUGACCUCGGAUCAGGUAGGGAUACCCGCUGAACUUAAGCAUAUCAAUAAGCGGAGGAAAAGAAACCAACAGGGAUUGCCCUAGUAACGGCGAGUGAAGCGGCAACAGCUCAAAUUUGAAAUCUGGCGCAAGCCCGAGUUGUAAUUUGUAGAGGAUGCUUCUAGGCAGCGGCCGGUCUAAGUUCCUUGGAACAGGACGUCAUAGAGGGUGAGAAUCCCGUAUGUGACCGGUUGGCACCUAUCACGUAGCUCCUUCGACGAGUCGAGUUGUUUGGGAAUGCAGCUCUAAAUGGGUGGUAAAUUCCAUCUAAAGCUAAAUAUCGGCCAGAGACCGAUAGCGCACAAGUAGAGUGAUCGAAAGAUGAAAAGCACUUUGGAAAGAGAGUUAAAAAGCACGUGAAAUUGUUGAAAGGGAAGCGCAUGCAAUCAGACUUGUUGGCGGUGUUCCGCCGGUCUUCUGACCGGUCUACUCGCCGCUGACAGGCCAGCAUCGUGUGGGUGCGCCGGAUAAAGGUGUCGGGAAUGUGGCCCCUCGGGGUGUUAUAGCCCGACGCACAAUACGGUGCCGCCCGCGCGAGGUCCGC